This 497-nucleotide ribosomal RNA is filed under the name uncultured bacterium. RNAcentral's name for it is "partial 16S ribosomal RNA". It matches the Rfam family "Bacterial small subunit ribosomal RNA", at positions 28 to 507 of the family's 1533-position model. The record is from RNAcentral.
GAUGAACGCUGGCGGCGUGCCUAAUACAUGCAAGUCGAGCGAACGGACGAGAAGCUUGCUUCUCUGAUGUUAGCGGCGGACGGGUGAGUAACACGUGGAUAACCUACCUAUAAGACUGGGAUAACUUCGGGAAACCGGAGCUAAUACCGGAUAAUAUUUUGAACCGCAUGGUUCAAAAGUGAAAGACGGUCUUGCUGUCACUUAUAGAUGGAUCCGCGCUGCAUUAGCUAGUUGGUAAGGUAACGGCUUACCAAGGCAACGAUGCAUAGCCGACCUAAGAGGGUGAUCGGCCACACUGGAACUGAGACACGGUCCAGACUCCUACGGGAGGCAGCAGUAGGGAAUCUUCCGCAAUGGGCGAAAGCCUGACGGAGCAACGCCGCGUGAGUGAUGAAGGUCUUCGGAUCGUAAAACUCUGUUAUUCGUGAAGAACAUAUGUGUAAGUAACUGUGCACAUCUUGACGGUACCUAAUCAGAAAGCCACGGCUAACUACGUG